This 1210-nucleotide ribosomal RNA is filed under the name metagenome. Its description in RNAcentral is "SSU rRNA". It matches the Rfam family "Eukaryotic small subunit ribosomal RNA", at positions 561 to 1786 of the family's 1831-position model. The record is from RNAcentral.
CUGGUGCCAGCAGCCGCGGUAAUUCCAGCUCCAAUUGCGUAUAUUAAAGUUGUUGCAGUUAAAAAGCUCGUAGUUGGAUCUGGGGUUCGGGUCGGCGGUUUGCCGCUUCGGCGGCUACUGCCGUGCUCGACUCUUACUAGCCGGUGCGUCUUGCGGUGCUCUUCAUCGAGUGCCGUAGGAGCCUGGCAUGUUUACUUUGAAAAAAUUAGAGUGCUCAAAGCAGGCGAUUCCGCCUGAAUAGUGUUGCAUGGAAUAAUGGAAUAGGACCUCGGUUCUAUUUUGUUGGUUUUCGGAACUUGAGGUAAUGAUUAAGAGGGACGGUCGGGGGCAUUCGUAUUUCGGUGUUAGAGGUGAAAUUCUUGGAUCGCUGAAAGACGGACAAAUGCGAAAGCAUCUGCCAAGAACGUCUCCAUUAAUCAAGAACGAAAGUCAGAGGUUCGAAGACGAUCAGACACCGUCCUAGUUCUGACCAUAAACGAUGCCAACUAGCGAUCCGCAGUGGUUGCUAUAAACGGACUCUGCGAGCAGCUUCCGGGAAACCAAAGUGUUUGGGUUCCGGGGGAAGUAUGGUUGCAAAGCUGAAACUUAAAGGAAUUGACGGAAGGGCACCACCAGGAGUGGAGCCUGCGGCUUAAUUUGACACAACACGGGGAAACUCACCCGGUCCGGACACUGUAAGGAUUGACAGAUCGAGAGCUCUUUCUUGAUUCGGUGGAUGGUGGUGCAUGGCCGUUCUUAGUUGGUGGAGUGAUUUGUCUGGUUAAUUCCGAUAACGAACGAGACUCUAGCCUGCUAACUAGUUGCGCCGUGUUCAUACGCGGCUGUAGACUUCUUAGAGGGACAGGUGGCGUUUAGCCACACGAAAUUGAGCAAUAACAGGUCUGUGAUGCCCUUAGAUGUCCGGGGCCGCACGCGCGCUACACUGAAGGAGUCAGCGUGUGCUAUCCGGGCUCGGAAGAGUUCGGUAACCCGUUGAAACUCCUUCGUGCUUGGGAUUGUGGCUUGUAAUUAUCGCGCAUGAACGAGGAAUUCCCAGUAAGUGCAAGUCAUCAGCUUGCGCUGACUACGUCCCUGCCCUUUGUACACACCGCCCGUCGCUACUACCGAUUGAAUGGUUUAGCAAGGUACUCGGAUUGGUCUCGAUCUUGUACGAAAGUGCGGGAUCUGUGGCCGAGAAGAAGGCCAAACUUGAUCAUUUAGAGGAAGUAAA